This 405-nucleotide ribosomal RNA is filed under the name uncultured prokaryote. RNAcentral describes it as "bacterial SSU rRNA". It matches the Rfam family "Bacterial small subunit ribosomal RNA", at positions 355 to 774 of the family's 1533-position model. The record is from RNAcentral.
UGGGGAAUAUUGGGCAAUGGGCGCAAGCCUGACCCAGCAACGCCGCGUGAGGGAAGAAGGCUUUCGGGUUGUAAACCUCUGUCCUUGGUGACGAAACAAAUGACGGUAGCCAAGGAGGAAGCCCCGGCUAACUACGUGCCAGCAGCCGCGGUAAUACGUAGGGGGCGAGCGUUGUCCGGAAUUACUGGGCGUAAAGGGUGCGUAGGUGGCCUUUUAAGUUGGAUGUGAAAUACCCGGGCUUAACUUGGGGGGUGCAUCUAAUACUGGGAGGCUAGAGUGCAGUAUAGGGAAGCGGAAUUCCUAGUGUAGCGGUGAAAUGCGUAGAUAUUAGGAGGAACACCAGUGGCGAAGGCGGCUUUCUGGACUGUAACUGACACUGAGGCACGAAAGCGUGGGGAGCAAACA